Molecule: long non-coding RNA, 40325 nt
Filed under: Gossypium barbadense (sea-island cotton)
Lineage: Eukaryota; Viridiplantae; Streptophyta; Magnoliopsida; Malvales; Malvaceae
Description: long non-coding RNA (GBAR_LNC008713)
Source: RNAcentral
UGUAAUUUAAGCUUUCGAGACAUCCCUCAUCCAUUCUCUUGGAGCUUUCUCACUUAUAUUAAAGUUAUUUCAAGGUUAGAUUUUAAUUUUUUAGAUUUGUUUAUAUUAUCAAUUUUUUAAUUCAUUAUGUUUUUUUAUAUUAUUAUAAUUUAUUAGAUUAAAUUUUUAUCUUUUAGAUUGAAUUUUUUUUUACCAAAUAUUCAAAGUGUUUCAAGAUUAAAAACUUUUAAGAAAAAAGAGUGAGAAGUUACUUGAAGAUAAAAAAAAGAAAAGAAAAGGGUAAACUAUAAAACUAAUCACUUUUGUUUGACUUAGAUUACAUUUUAGUCACUUAUAUUUGAAACGUUACGUUUUAGUCACUUACGUUAUUGUUUUAUUAUGAAUUAGUCACUCUAUCAUUAAAUUUCGUUACCUCCCUAACGGUAAUCUUACGUAGCAUUCUAAAUAGUUUUUAAAUGUCAACUUAGAUGUCCAACUAGGACGAGAAUAGUUUUUUUUGUCAAAAUGGAAAAGAAAACUAAAAAAAAAUGAGACCACGAUUUUUCUUUUCCUGUUCAAGAUGUAAUUAAUUUAAAUUUUAAUUAAUUUAAAACCUAUUAUUAUCCUAGUUGAACAUCCAAGUUGGCAUUUAAAACUCAUUUGGAUUGCUACAUAAGAUUGCCGUUAAGAAGGUAACGAAGCUUAACGACAGAAUAACCACUUCGUAACAAAACAAUAACGUAAGUGACUAAAAUAUAAUAUUUCAAACAUAAGUGAGUAAAAUAUAAUCUGAGACAAAAAAAUGACUAUUUUUAUUGUAAUGACCAAUUUUGGCCCGGGCCUAUGCAAACACAAAACAAGCCCCCCCCAAAAAAAACAUAACUAUAAAAACCGCAUCAUAAACAGUCCUUACAGUUCAAUUACAGAAACUAGUGACCCAACUACAAGAAUAGGCCCAACAGGCCCAAAACGCUAAGGUUACAGAAGACCCAAUACCCCAUAGCCCAGUUACAUGACCCAUAGCCCAAAACUAAUACUAAACCUAGUCCAAAUUAUAUCGGCCCAAGUGGCCCAAGAUUCAAAAAUUAGGGCAGAACCCUAGCAGUUUGUUUGCGUCGCAGCAGUCCCAACCUCCACGCCUCCGUAUGGCCUCGUACCCGAGCGCACACCCGUACCUACAAGAAGACAAACAGAGCAGUAGCCAAUACGAAAGCAAAGAGAAAAUUGCAUUUUUCUUUAUUUUUUGAUUAUUCGGCUAUAAAGUCGAUGAUUUCCGACUGUAAAUCCUUCCUUUUUUUUACACAAGCAAUACACACGCAAUAGGCAAUACAAACACUAUUUUUUGCAUAUUCAAUACAAAAAAAGGCAACCGAUAUUAAGAGGUGAUCUCGAACGCCAUAUUUUUUUUAUUUCUGAAAAUCGCUUUCAUCUCCAGAUCUUGCUUGUUUUUUUUUUUCUUUUUGCAAAAAAGGGAGAUAAAAACGAAGACUUACCUUCGUAUCUAAGCCAUCGGAGUCAAUCAUCUUCGUCGACAUCGAAGUUUGAGAAGACUUCGAGGCCAAAAUUGGCAAACCUAUGCGUCGGGUUCAGAACGGGGGAGAAACGGAGCACCACCGGAGGCCAUCAAUCACUGUUUGUGAUGAUGAAGCCAUGGCUAGGUGGCGCAUAGCAUUAGGGUUUCCCUUUCUUUUUUUCUUCUUCAUCGGUUCGGCUGGAUAGGCUAAAGGGGGCCUUUAUAAAGAACCCAAAACGGUGCCGUUUGAGCCUGCUUCAAUGGCUCAAAACGGUGUCAUAUGGAUGAGCCCGAUCCGACCCAGCUCCUAAACCUCAGGAUCCGCGCGUUUACUGCGGUAAAGGGAAAUUUGCGCAUUUAAUCCCUUGCUGUCGCGCUAGUGAUUGAUUAGGUCUAGUCCAGGUUUUUUAUUUUCUUAAAUCCGCCCGGUGAUUUGCGCUCAUUCGCGUUUUGGUCCGCGCUUCAGUGAUGCGUUUUGUGGCAUGGAUUAUUUCCAGUCCUGGUCCUUACGCACUUGAGCACAUGGCAUAUUGGUCCAUAUUAUUAUUACUAUUUAUUUGUUAAUUAUCCCAUGUGUUUUAGCUUAAUUUUAAUUGGGUCUCUUCUUCUAUAGCUUAUUUAUUUAUUUGUGUAUUUUAAGCAACUUUGACAAUUUUUUCUUCAUUGUUGUGGAUUCGUUCUUGUAAUAUUAUUAUCAUACUUUGUAUACUUUAAAUGUUUAUCUCCUUUAUAUUAUUAUACAUAUACACAUUUUGUAGCAAAGUUAACGUAUUUUCAUGCAUAUAAUGUUUUUUAUUUUAACCAUGUAUUUUAACAUAUAAUUUCGUUAUGAUAAUAUGUUUUGUAUAUGUGUUUUGUAUAAAAUUAUUUUUCUAUUUGCUUAUAUUAGUACACACAUUUGAUUUAUAUACAUUAUUAAACCUAUACAUAUUAUCAUUUCUAUAUAAAUUUGGCAUGUGUUCACUUUUAAACUUAUAUAUAUAUUAAUACACUUAUUACUUUAAUGGAAUUUUCCACUUUAAAAUAAUUUUUGCUUUGUGAUUUACCAAGUAUUUUCUCUACACAUAUAUGAAAUAAUUUUGGAAACUUCCUUUUUUUUUGUGUAAUUAUAAAAUUAUUAUUUUUUGAGUAUAUCUAUAUAUAUUAUGUUGCUUUGGUGUUUGUAUAGUCUAUCAUUUUAAAUGUUUUGAUAUAAGGAUAUGUAUGAUUUUUAGACUGACUUAAAAUUUAUAUAUAUUAUUAUUAACCUAAUUUUUUUUUAUAAAUUCAUAUGUACAUAUUUUUUUUAUAAAUCUAUUUUGGGUAUUAUGUCUGGUCAUGCAAUUUUUUAUUACUCUUUUGUAUCAUUUUUUUAUUAUCAUACAUUUUGUAAACCUUUAAACCAAUUUGUGUUUAAAACAUUUACAUUUACAUGUAAUCGGAUUCAAACUUUGAUUCUAUAAUAUCUCUUUCAAUAAUUAUAUAUAUUCUUAGUUCCUCUGCAAAUUUGUCAACUUAUAUAUUACUUAUUUUAAAAAUAUUCAUCCUACAAUAUAUAUUUUAAUGAUUGCGUGUGUUUAUUAAGCUUGUCUUUACAAAUGUUUUUAUUUAUCAAUUCAUCAAUCCAUAUAGAAUGUGUCAUGUACUUAUCAUUGUUUUGAAAUAGUUUUAUACCAUAUUGCUUCUUCGAUUUGCAUUUUGUCUUGUGCAUCUAAUAGUAAUCAUCUUUUUAUUAUGCCAUGCACGUUAUCGUUGCAUUAUUCAUUGUUUUAUAUUGUCAUGUUAAUUAUUUUCCGUGCAUGAUUGAAAUUGAGUUAUGUUUCCACCUUAAUUUUACUUAGUUUUAAGUUCUUGUUAGUUGGUUAAAUAAAUUGUAUUGCCUCCACUCUUCCGUUGUCGUGUUUUAUGCGUACACAUAUCUCUCAUAUCAUCGUUUCCACUUGAUUUUUGAAAUGUGAUUUUAUAAAAACCAAAUUUUAUGAUUAAUUUCGUCUUAUUUCAAAUGAGAUUAAUGCGUUUUAAGCUAGUUUUAUAAGUAUUCAUUUAAAAAUUCUUUAAAACGAAUGCAAUACUCGGUGUUUGACAAUUCGGGAAUCAUGCCCUAUCGUGCUGGGUUGUGAUUUCUCGUUUGCUCAAAACAAUCGAAUAUUCCUAUAGGUUUUCACUCAUGUUUAUUAAAAACCUUUCAAAACGAAGAUGAUGUUCGAUGAUUGGCGAUUUGAGAAUCGUGCCCUAUCGUGCUAGGUUGCGCUUUUUCAUUUGUUCUAAACGAUCGAAGAUCCCUUCGGAACUUCAUUCACGUUUUCUAAAAACUCUUUAAAAUGAAAGAAAUGUUCGAUGUUUGGCAAUUCGGGGAAUAGUGCCCUAUCGUGCUGGGUUGCAAUUUCCCGUUUGUUCAAAAUAAUUGAAUAUCUCUUCGGAAUUUCACUCGUAUUUUCUAAGGCAAGGCAAUGUUCAAUAUUUGGAAAUUCGAGGAAUCGUGGCCUACUGUGCUGGGUUUCGGUUUUGCGUUGGACCUAAUAGUUGGGCAUCAUUUUGUAAUUUUCAAAUUAUAAACUUUCGGACGUCAAAACAAGAAGAUUUUGGCAACCAACUCGGGUUACUCAAAUGUUAUUAAAAAAGAAUCACAUUUCAAAAACAUUUUUUAUUUUAGACAUAAGGACAAUAUCUAAUCGAUUUGGUACCAAUUUUGGGCGUAGUGAGGGUGCUAAUCCUUCUUCAUACGUAACCUACUCCCGAGCUCGUUUUUUCAUAUUUUCGUAGACCGGGAUCGUUGUUUUAGUAAACCAAAAAUGUUUUAUUAAAAUAACCAAAUUCUUAGGUGAUCCGAUCACACUAAAACAAAAAGAUCGGCGGCGACUCCAUAUUUUUGUUUUUCAAAAAGUCGAUUCCCCAUUUUUCUUUUAUUAAAUUUAAAAUUUUAAAAUGAAAAGUUGGUUUCGACAUUUAUAAUUUACCAAAAAAAAAAAACUCAGAAUCACUAAGAGAAAUUUUAAACUUGCAAAGACAAGACAAAAAGAACCCAAAGAUAUCGGCAAAAAUUCUUUUAUCUAUUUUCGCUUUAGGGUUUUUCUUUCUAUUUUUUUAUGCAAGAUUGUUUUGAAUAUUUAUUUAUGAUAUUUUCUUCGCUUAAAUGAGUUGAACUAUAUUUUCCUCGAAUGAUGAUAGAUUUUAUAUAGUAGUUUAUUGAUUAUUUUUUUCUUCAAUUAUUUUAAUCUAUAUUAAUUAUUUAUUCAAUUUUGUAGGCUUGUCUAGCCACCAUAUUAAUUUGAUAGGACUGAGAUCUAGAUUGAAUAGAUCAUGAUUGAUUCUAGAGUUAUAAUAGGAAUAUACUUAAUGUGCAAUCAAUUCUUUAUUCUUAACGACUUAACUCAACUUGACUAGCAUAGAAUAUAGCUAGUGGGGGAAGGAGAUUAACUUAGUUAGAUAUUGUAAAAAAAUUAAUUAAUUAAAGCCAUUAAAUCUUUAAUUAGUAAUUAUAUCAAUUUAACACUUAAAUAAGAAAUAAUUGAUUAACUAAAUUAGGUGAACUUAAAAUUCCAAAAUUAUAAAAUUAUUGAAAAACUCGAAAGUUUUUAUUGACUCGUAGUUAAGUAAAAUACUCAUAAUUUGUUUUGUUAAGAGUAAUAGUAAUUAGAAUCUAAAUGAUGAUAAAAAGUGAAUUAUUAAUACUUAACUACUUAGAAUUUGAUUCUCGGACAAACAAUCUCAUCUUAUAUUACUUAAUUAACAUGCGAAAUUGCAUUAACUUCUAUCACCAUCUACUAAUCAACAAUUUAUUAAACUAAGAAUUAGUUUAACCACCGAUCUGAUUUUUAUAACGUAGAAUAUUAUAAAAUUGCAACAAAUUAUUUCAGCUUCCUCUCCAUUAUUUCUUUUUCCAAAUACAUCUUUUGUUUAUCCUUCAUGCAUAUAAGAUUCAUAUUAGUCUAAAAUUAAGUAGGUCUUAUACAUGAACAAGUAAUGAUAUUAAGAAAGAAUAGGAAGAAAAGUCGGCUGUCGUUUUUCUUUUCUGUUGUUAUUUCUUUUCUGAAUUAUAAAUGAUUAAGUUCCAAAAAUGAAGCAUCGAGAAUCGAAGUCUAUACAUUGAUUGAUGAGAAUUUUGUGAGAAGGCUGGCUUGGCUACUACACUAUCCUUGUAUAUAUCCAUCCUAUAUUUGCCCACUCUUUUUGAACAAAACUUGUUAGAGUGGACCAAACGAUAUCGACUCAUCUUGUUUCAGUUUUGUUGUUAGUGGUUUGAAUUGGUAAACUGAACCAAAUAAUACUUGUACUUGUGUGGAAUACUAGUAUUUAUAGUACUUUUAUAUAUUUAUAUAAAUUUUGAAGGGAUACCAUGAAAAGAAAGACUGAGGUGAGUUAAAAGUGGGCAAAUGAAGCUGUACUUGUAAAAUGGAGGACCACAUUGAAAAGCUUUACUACAAAUUGCUUAUUGCUCAAGGAACUAUUAAGAAUAAGAAGACACAACAUCCCUUCUCCACAACGUUUGGGAAGAAGAUGUUUUGUUUAAGCUCACAACUAUGAUAACAACUUCUUGUAUGUAUCUUGUAAGUUGCACUUGACUGACUAGUUCUAAAUUGUUGGUUCUUUUAUAUUUAUUUUGGGUAAAACUCAUAUAUUAUCAACAGUAGUAAAUUAUUGUCACGGAUAAUUUUUACGAUUUGAUCAUACGAUGUGAGCAUGAAGUAAACAUUCUUAACUAAUGAGCUGAGCACUGAACUUCAUCUUUUUUUUUAAUUAUUAGAUAGAUGAAGUUGUCAAAAUUAUUUGUUUCCUUUUUAAUGAUUAAAUAUUUUUAAGAUGAAUAUCGUCAAUUUUUCAAAAGAUGUUUGAAUUAUAAUAUGCAUUUAAUAUUACUUCAAUAUCAAGAAAAUCAAUUGAGAGAGAUUAAAGUGGAGCUUGAUACUUAGCAAUAAUGGAGGUAAAGGCAAUUAGUGAAAGUUUAUUUAUAAAGAGUUUAAAUAGAAUACCUCGUAAGAGACUGAAAUGAAUAUUAUAUCCAUUAAUUAAAGAGGUUGAAGUCUCUUUGAGUAAAACCCUAAUUAAAUUCGUAUUAUUUAAAUGCUUUAUUCUAAACAUAUAUAAAUGGUAAAUGUUAGAAACAACCAAACCCCACUCCUACUAUGUUUAUGUUCAACAUCAAUAAAUAAAAUUAAAAAGAAAAAAGAGAGAGAAAACAUUAAAGAUUCUCUUAGUGUCCACCACAUAAAUAAAUAUCAUGAUUGGUUUUCAAAGUGAAAUUAAUAAUUUCUUAACCUAACGAACUCCAAUAUUUCAACCAAUGGGGACGUAGGGUAGUGACAUUGUAAGGUCGAAAUGGAAAGUAAUCAAUCAUUAUCCAUUAUCCAUUAGCCUCUUUCCCUUUAUAUUAAUCUUAUAAUAUUAAUACACCAAUAUCUGGACCAACCGCAGUGCUUUAAUAUUAAUUUAACAACCAAAUUUGCUAAACUUAAAAAAGACAUGUCUGGUUCAUCAACUUGCAUAUGUUCUGUUGGAAAACCUUUCCUCGCUAGGAAUAGGAAUAAAACCUGUUUAGAGUUUAAACAUUAUCUAGAUUUGUUAACUGAUAUAUACUUAAUUAAAGAUAUCUUUACGAAUAGUUUAAUUUAUAAAGUUAUUCGAAUACUCAUCUUUCUCCUACCACUUGCUGCUUUAACCAGUGUUUUUGGACAUCCUAAACCUUUUAUAAAGGUUUUGGAGUGCUCAUAAUCUUGUUCCAAGUUCAAUUAGCUUAGUAUUUUAAUUGUUAACAGUUCAAGUUCAAAAGUUUUUUCGAAUUUUAGAAGGGUUUACAUAAAAUUAUUAAGGCUCGAAAAGUUAACUUCGAUAAUAAGAAAAUUAAAUCAUGAUGUACGAAAAAUUGUUACGCGGGUACACAUGUCAAAUCAAGUAAUAAAGUCAUAAAAAGAUAUCGUUUUCAUGAAGAUCAAAUUCUAAGCUACUAACUAUCAACUAUUCAUUUUUAUCUAAUCUAACUGUAAGGCCCAAUUUUGGCCCGGGCCCGUACAAACACAAAACAAAAAAAACAAAAAGAAUAAAUUAUAAUAAAAAUAUUAUAACAGUCCAAAUAUUACAACCCAUUUACAACAAAUAUUGACAGUCCAUCGGCCCAAAAUAAUUACAAUGACCCAAAUUAAUCCUAGCCCAAUAUUACACAACAGAGCAGGCCCAAAUGGCCCGAGAGUUUGGCAUUCACAGAAACCUUAGGGUCCCCCUCGAUGUGCCGCAGCAACCUUCAACCUCCAAGCGCCGUAUAAUCUCCAGCACACCUCCGUACGCCCCACGCGGAGUGCCACGUACCACCACAGCUAGCCUCGUACCUCCAUACUUGCAAACAAACAAGAGAACGAUAGCAAACACGAAGGAAAAUUUGAUUUUUUUUAUUCUUUCGAAUUUCGGCUAUAAAGCCAAUAACUUCUUCAUUGUAUUUUUUUUGGACGCAUAUUAAAUAGAAAAGUACAAAAGCAACCAAGAAAUAGAAGGUGAUUUCAGAUUUUAUUUGCUCGUGUUUUGAUUUUUUUCUUUGUUCCUGCUUAAGGAUUCUUUCGCAUGAAAAUAAAAAGUGAAAAGGAGAGGGCUUACCUUCGCAUACGAGCCAUCGGAGUCCUCAUCUCCUUCGUUGAAAUCGAAGUUUGAGAUAGGAUUUUGGGGUUGAAAUCGAUGACCUUUGAGGCUUGGUUUUAAACGGAAGGCAAUAAGAAGCCAUUGCGCGCCAUCAUCCAGCGAUUAUGGUGGUGGAAUGGUGGUUGAACGGUGGACCGAAUGAGAGGGGGGGAAAGGUUUUAAGUUUGUUUUGUUUUCCUUUUCAAAUGGCUAAUAGUUAACUUAGGGUUUCUUUAAUUUUGUUUUAUGAAACAUAUGAAAUGACGUCGUUUUAAGCCAAUCUCAAUGGCUACAAAACGGCACCGUUUCAGUAGCCAUAACCCGAUGGCCCGACCUGUGCCCGGAUAGGAUCCGCGCUUUGGUCUUUGAGGGUUAUUUGCGCGCUAGAUCCCUCUCUUUCGCACUGAUAUCUAAUUGGGCCCUCUGUGCAUCUGCUUUGUUUUUUUUUUAAUUUUUCCUCGAGAUUUGUGCAUUAUUGCAAUCUAAUCCGCGCCUAAACGCAGUGUUUUGGGAUCUAGUAUAUUGCCAGUUUUGGUCCCUGUGCAUUCGUGCGCAUUGCGCUUUAGUCCUUCUUCUAAUUUCAGUAAUUUAUUUUAUUUAUUAAGUAUCCUUUUAGUUUAGUUUUAUUUUAAUUCAGUCCUUUUGAUUUGUAUAAUUCAUCAUUUUUUUUUAAAUUCACUUAAUACUUAUUUUUUAUAAAUGAAUGUAUAUAUAUAUUUUUUUGAGUUAUCAUGAUAAUUUUUAUCCUUUUUUAUAUAAAAUCGUUAUUUUAAAGCUUUUUAUAUCGUAUGGUUUUAAAGAUUUUGUAUCAUAUUUCAUUUAAAUGUUCUUAUAUACUAUUAUACAUAUGUAGUUUAUGAUAAAGUUAGUUUUUAUUCUAUAUAUAUUAUUAAUUCUAUGUUACUUUACAUACAUAAUUUCUUUUAAAUCUAUUUAUAUAUAUUUUAAAACCUUAUGUACAUAAAGUAUAUUUUAUCAUAUAUUUUUUGUUAUUUAAGAACCUUUCAUAUUUUAUAUGUUCUUUAAAUUAUUUUUUAUUGUAUAUAUAUGGUCAACUUUAAAUAGGUAUAUCAUUUUAAAAAUAUUUUGUACAUUAUUUGACUCAAAUUUCUCCUUUUGUAAUAUCUAUUUUAAUAAUCAGUUAUGUAUAUCCUUAGUUUUUUUUAUAUAAAUUAUUUCAAAUUUUGCAUAUGUUAUUCAUUUAUAAUUUUCCAUAUAAUUUUUACAUCGAUCGUUUCGCAUCGUAUUAGUUCCUAGUGUCUAUAUUGUUUGGUAUAUUAUGUGGGGCUUUUGGUUUUCAUAUUGUUAAUACAUUAUAGUUUCAUAUUGCCCGUUAGUCUCUUGUGUUGCUCUUUUAUCUAUGCUUGGAAGCUUACUAUAAUCUUUAUGCUUAUUUGUUUCUUUAAUUAACUAUAUUACUAGUUUUCAUUGUUUGAAUUUUAAAUAUUUGGAUAUGAGCUUAAUGUUAUUUUGUAGAUGUCAAUUUGUUUUUUUUUAUACUAUUUUUCAUUCAUUAAUAGAGUUCGCUAUCAUGUAUAUUGUCUCAUGUUUAUAAUUUCGCCUUUCAUUCGCAAUUAACUCAUUGGGAUUUUUAACUUAUUAAUCCAAACUAAUUAUUCCAUUUUAUUUCAAUUUAAAUUAAUGCGUUUUGAGCUAGUUCUACAAUUGUUUAAUUAUUUGAAAAUUUACUAAAACAAAAGUAAUGAUUGAUGUUUGGGAACUCGAGGAAUCGUGCCCUACCGUGCUGGGUUUCGAUUUUCCAUUUGUCCAAAAUAAUCAAAUAUUCCUUUGAGAUUUCAUCUGUAUUUUCUAAAUUCUAAAACAAGGCAAUGUUCAAUGUUUGGAAAUUCGAGAAAUCGUGCCCUACUGUGCUGGGUUUCGGCUUUUCGUUGGACUAAAUAAUUGGCCAUCCUUUUGUAAUUUUCAACGUAUAAGCUUUUGGAAGUCAAGAAUUAAUCGUGGUUUCGAAGGUAUAAAGGAUCGUGUCCUAUCGUGCUGGAUGUGAUGUUGUAUUCCUUUAAAACAAGAGAAUUUUGACGACCAACUUGAGCCAUUUGGAUGUUUUAAAAAAAUCCUAUUUCAAAGGAUUUUUUUUUAAAUCUUAGAUGUAAGGACAAUACUUAAUCAAUUUGGUACCAAUUUUGGGCAUAGCGAGGGUGCUAAUCCUUCCUCGCACGUAAUCGGCUCCCGAACCUCUUUUCUUGAAUUUCGUAGGCCAAAGUUGAUUUGAAUAGAGUAAAAUGUUUUAUCAGGUGAUCCUAUCACACUAAACAAAAGGAUUGGUGGCGGCUCCACUCGUUUUAAGGUCGAUCCCCGUUUUUUCCAAAAAAAAUGGUUUCGACACUAACUCAAGAAAAUAAAUUCUUAUUACUAUUAGAAUUAAACUAAACUAACUACGAAAAUUCUAUUAAACUAAAAUAAUGAAAAUCACUAAGUUUCUUAAUGAAUUUUAAGAUCUUGAAACUCUAACUUCAUCUAUUUUAGUUAAUCAAUAAUCUAUCAUUCAAUUGUUCAACCUAUUUAAUUACGAACCCAAGAUUCAUUGGCAUUAACUAAAUCCUUCCAGAAUCUAGCUAAGUUAAUCUCUAUCUAUGCUAGGCAAGUUGGGCAAAGUCACUACAAUCAAGCCUAUUAGAUUGAUUAGUGCUUUAGGUAUAUUCCUAUGUUAGUCGCAAGUUAACUUGUUCGUUAAUGCUACUAAAUUUAAUCCUAAUCUAUUCAGUCUAGAUCUAAAUAUCAAAUUUCUCUUCCAAAACAAAUCAAGAUUAUCAAAUUAAUGCAACUUGGUGAUCAGACAAGCAGAUUAAAUAAACACGGGAUUGAAAAAAUAAUUAACAAGGAUUGAAACAAUUGAAAAGAGAAUAAAUUAAUUAACUAAAAAUUGGAUUCAUCAUCAUUCUAAGAAAAUAGGGUUUAGUUUAUAUUGAUUUGAGAAAACAUCACAAGAAGAAAUUUAAAACAAACUUGCAUUGAGAGAAAGUAAAAAAAAAAUCUAGAGAGAAAAAUAAUUAUCAAGCUAAUGUCAAGCGCUCCUGAUCUCUUUUGCUUAUCGUCUUUGCUAACUUUAAGUUCCUUUUGGUGUGAAAGAGUUGUUUCUUAGCCUCCAAAUUGAUUAAAUAAGUUCCUCUUACUUUUAGGGUUUUAAUCGUUCUGCUCUAUCAUACACAAAAUUGCAGUGGAGCGGACUGCUUACUGUUUAAAAAUUCUGAAUUGAAGAUUGUGCUCCACCACAUUGAAAUCCGAUGGAGCAGAAGUCUUUUCUUCGCUACUUUUUACUCUAUACUUCAAGCCAGGGAUUUAAAUAGCGGUCCGAUACCACUAUAGCGGCCGUUAUAUAGCGGUAGUGGCACUGUCCGAAACCGCUACCGCGAUUAACCGCUAUUAUGUUUUACAAUAAGUUGUGUGAAUUUUAAAAAAAAUUCACAACUGCGAUACCUUCAGUGACCGCAAUAGCAUUCGUUAUGUCCGCAGCCGCGAUAAACGCAACGCGACCGAAAACGUGGCCGCGACCGCAAUUUAAAUCUCUGCGUUCAAGCCUUCCAUUCUUCCUCCAAAACUUACAAUGUAGAGAAACAAAUAGCAAGUAAAUUCGAGCUAACUCUGAAAAUGAUAAAAAAAAUUCAAAUAAAAUAUGAUUAAGCUGAAAAAAACUAUAAACUAUAAUAAAGCUAACCUAAAUGCUAAAAUUAUAUCCUAAAAUGCUAUAAAAAACUAUACUAACGUAAACUUUAAAUAUACUAUAAAAUGUAAUAAAACAUUAGAUGCUUGAGUCCAUACAAACCACCUAUUUUUGAAGUUUGUAAUUAUUAUUGUUAGUACACCACACAAAUCGGACCCAAACAUAUUGAUAAUCCGACAAGGGGAAGUUCGAUUCUUUAUAACUGAUAUAACCCAACAAGGAUUGAUAAAAAAUGGUCUAGAUAACCUCAGCCCCAAGAAAUUUCAUUCCACUGUGUGAAUGCCUAUGUUCACACCUUAACUGUUAGUCAGAAGUAGUCUCGAGAAGUUUCCAAAAUCAAUCAACUAGCUUAGCUAAGAGCACGCAAGGAUGCACCCUCUUAAGAAUUAACUAAGAUUAGCCAUAGUCGUUAGAUUCGGGCACUUGUCUAAUUGUUCCUGAGCAAACAUCAAAGCCAUAAAAAACCACCACAAAUGACUCCGCACAGGUAAGCCUUUUACCCUAGCCAAAGUUAUGUUUAUCUUUCUUCAUAAACCUCUUUGACUUGAACAUAGGAACGUGCUCCAAAAUCCAAACUCCAGUGCCCUUUUUUUUCUUUUACCGCCCUUCUAACUCCAGUCCCGCUUCAUCGUAAACUUGGCUCAACAAUUAUAUAAUGUUAUUUUUAUGUAUUAUAUGAUUUACAACACAGUUAAAUUUAUAAUAAUAUAUAGUUAUUAUAAUAUAAUUAUAUUAAAAAAUGUUAAGUUGUCUAUAUAUAUAGUUUUAAUGAAUGAAAAAAAUAUAUAUAAGUAUUAAAUAUCAAAUUAGAAAAAAAAUAUAAUUUUUUUUCAAAAAAAUUAAAAAAAAUGUCGAGCGCAAAAUAGGUUUAGUUUAACCAUUUAUAAUAUGAGUAGAUUCAAGCAAAAUUUUGGACUCAUAUUUCGGGCUAAGUCGAACUUGGGUAAACAUAAAAUAUGUUAAUAUUUAAACUUAUAUGUUGUGGAUAAAGAUUCAUUAUCACUUCUCGGGUCAAAUGAUUAGCAACUUCAUAUCUGGUCUAAGGUUUGAGUCUUGUGGAUAAAGAAAACAAUCCUGGAACAGUUUGGUUAGGUAUAACUUGACAGGACAUUGACUUUAUAUAGAAGGAUCUAAAAAACUACGAAUUCAAAGCAAAAACUAUAAAAGAAUUCCAAUAAAGAAAACAAGACAACAAUGUCAGAUGUUCCACCAAUCCAACAAGUUGGAGAUUUCAUAACGCUCUACUCCAGUGCCUGAUUCUCUCCAUCUUUAUACAUCUUCAACCGAGGGACAUCCAGUCUCGUAUCAUAACAACGUUUAUCUGUAUUCUUAUUACUUCAUACGCAUACCUAAGUCCAUAAACAAAAACCAAAAACCAAUUUAACCUGUCUAAAUAAUCUCCCAAUCAGAUUCACAAAAUUCCAUGUCUUGUGAUUCUCGUUUGUUCCUUUGUCUGGAUAGUGCAUGCUGUUCAUCAUCCCGCUUUGUGAACCUUGACUUAGAAGAAAAGGCAUCCCGGAGCUUUUUCUGUUCCAUAAAACAAACAUAUAUAAUAUCAGGCUCAAGUAACAAAAGUAGGAUAAAGUUUGUCCUUAGCAUUGGCAAAGGGGUCAGGACUCAAGAGAGAGGGAGAGCCGUAUCAUACCUUGUAUGACCUGUGUUUUCCUACGUUGUUAGAGACGGAAAGAAGCUCACUACGGUCUACUAUAAUGCAGCUUUCUUCAAGCUUUGUGUUAUCAAAUGAUGGAACUUCUGGUUCCAUUUUCAAAACAGAUUUAUGGCUAGCCUCUAAUAAACAUGCUGGUCCCAUUUUCACUUCUGGUUCUGGGGCAACAUAUAUAUGAAUAAAUAAAGAGCAUAGUUCAAAAUAUAAAGAUAUAUGCAUAUAACAUACGAAUCGAAUACGUACCUAUCGACUCUAACGAUGUGUCAUCUGCAGUAGAAUCAUUUUCCUUAAGUUCAUUCUUGAAAGCUUUAGAGAAAAUUAGGGAAGCAGGUGCUGUGAACCCUUUAGAAUGAGCCAAGGAAUUUUGGUCCUCUGUGAAUUGUUCUGAAGGCAAGCCUAAAUGUACAUCCUCAACAGAUUUUACAGAAGAGGAAUAGACCAGUUUGGUCUGAGAGUGAUCUUCAUUGGCACUUCCAUUCGAGUCCUCAGAGGCUGCAACGCCGGAAAUUUGCACUGUGUUAAGGUCUUCUAACGAAUCGGUAGAUGAAGCGACCAAGUCUUGCAUUAGUUCAGUGCAGAACUGUUUAACAUUAGAACCAACUGUCUGCAACUGGUUUUCAACAUAUUGCAAUGUUUCCUGACAGAGAAAGCCAUCAAAUUUCAAAAGAGAUCUUAGCAGCAUAGGAAGAAAUAAGAAUUUACAAAGAUGAACUUUACAAAUGUAUAUAAAUCACCCAAAAUGAUCAUCUUUUUCUCCAUAAACAGAUAAACACAGUGCCAUAAUUUAAAGAGGGCAAAAAAAUACCUGGCAGACCAUAUCAUCCACCUCCAUACACAUAGCUUCAAAUUUCUGAUAGAGGUUGCCUACCCAAGCUAUGCCUUUAGCUUUUUUUUCCAUUGAACAACAAGAAGGAUGGUUUUACUUAAAUUUUCAGAUCCCACUUGGGUUUAACAUGAACUGCAUUAUUCAAAGAAAAGGAAUAGAAAUUUAUUCCUAAUAUACAGAUAUGCUACAACAUCAUAUUUCCAGCAAUGCUUGUGAUCAUAAGAUCAAAUAAAGAACAGAUAUGAGAGAUCACAAAAAUAAAGUAAGAUUUGGGGAUCAAAGCAACAAGUCUUCAUUACAACAAACACAGAAAAAAAACUUGAGCCAAGAAAAAGAACUCAAUGCCCUAAAAUAAGAAAAGAAACAAAAAAUAAAUACCUAUAUGAUCAACAUGAAGAAGCAUAAAUAUUUAAUUAAGGAAAAGGAUCACCGAGAUGAUCAACAAGCAGAAACAUUAUCAUGAAGUAAACUAUUAAAGUAAUUAGUGGAUAAACCCCAAAGUUAUAGUGAUCAAUUUAACAGGUUUCGAGACUUGUUACUGCAGGCAAGGCUAAAACUUGGCAUGAACAACUUAAACAAAAUUAUGAAAGAAAAAUGAAGACAAAUUUUUUUCUUUAACACACUUACAGGUUUUUCUCGAGGAAGAGGGGAAGAUAGUGAUUAAACCCUUUGUUCAGUUAGACUAAACUCCAAUUCCAAGUAGGUAGGUAGAAGAAGGAAAUACGGCUAAAUUUUCUCAAUAAAAUAAAAUAAAACUCAAAGGAGAUACCAAUUAUAAUAUAAACACUAAUUAGUAAUUAGCAAUCCAAUUUAAAAAAAUUGAUAUAAUAUAUUUAAAUAAAAUAAUUUAAACUAUUUUUUUAAGAAUUCAACUCUAAUAAAACUACCCAAUUAAAAUUUAUUCUCUUGAAAAAAAAAACGACCUUUAUUUUCUUCUAAAUAAAAAUUAUCAUUUUUUGGUACAAAUUUCUAAAAAUACAUACUUUCUUUUAGUAUACGGAAAUAUAUAUAAAUAAUGAAGAAAGUGAAUGAAGCCAAAAAUAUUAAAAGUGCACCAGCCGGGAAUCGAACCCGGGUCUGUACCGUGGCAGGGUACUAUUCUACCACUAGACCACUAGUGCUUUGUUGUUAAGUGUCAUAAUUUUUAUUUAAUAAAUCAAGUUAAGCAAAAAUGGAUUUGGAAUCUCCAUUAACUUGUUCGAACUUCGAGUGAUGCAAAGUAGGCAGGCAAGAUUUUAUCAUAUAUAAGCAUCAGAGCUAAAAUUAUUGGAUAACAUGAAAUGAAAUGUUCAGUCAUAACAGGAAACGAAAAGAGAUAAGUUCAUAUAAAUUUACACACAACAGUCAUAUGAUCUAAUAUUGAACUCUUACAUCUAAUGAUAUGUAUAUAUAUGACAUGUUUUCUAAAUUUUCAUUUCAAGCCAACCUUUUCACAUUCAAACAAACACCUGCAGAAAAUAAAGGAGAUGUCGCAGUGGAUUGACACAAACGAAACAAUGGCAAUCAUCUUUUUUAUGAAGAUGAGCUUGAGGAAUCAAAGUAUGAGAUCCUCUGCCUCUUUGGAAACGUCGAGUAUGGCAAGUAUUCCGGAGAGAUAGAAGCCUUCUCCAGGACAGAAUUCAAGGCCCGGCGAACGGAACAGGCCAGAUGUUGCCAUGACUCGGCGUCAUCACCAUGUGCGGUGGUUCGGCAACCGGUAAAAACAAAAUCUUUCCUCAGCCGACUACCCAAGGUUGAUAUUUCCGCUUUAACCAUCUUAAUCGGAAGAGCAUCGAGAGCUUGUCGUAAGUCGGUUAGAAGUUGGGGUCUGUAAUCACAACAGAUUGAUGCCUUGAAACAAUAUGUCCCAUUGGCUUCAUCGUUACACGUUUCAACUAUCACUUCAUCAUCAUCAACUGGAACAAGAAACCCUUUGCUAGCUUCAGUUGCAGCCUUCUUUAGUUCUUUCACUUGUCUUACCACCUCACCAAGUAAUGUGGCUUUAUCCAUCUACGAUGACCAUUUGAUUUGACUUGGUUAACUAAUUAUUUAAAAGAAAGAAAAAAACAAUUGAUAUAAGACAGAUUUAUUUGUCAACUAAAUUAGUUUAUAAAUCAAGAAAUAGACCUCAUCAAAAUUCAUAGCAGAACAGGUGUUAUGUUACAUCCCCCCCCUUCCCCCACAUGUCCGAUCAUUUAUUAGCUUACACUUUUCUGACGGUAGGGUUUAACAGAAAAAAAAAACAAUAUUUGCACGAAGUGAUGUCAAAAGAUAUUAUAUUAUUAUGGAGAUGUUAAUUCUUAACUAACACGAAGAUAAGGAGGAGCAGUUGAAAGGUAUCAAGAAAAGAGUUGGCUAACCAUUAACUGCAGACAACCUUGCAUGAUUGAUUGGUUUUGUUUGAAAUAUAUAAAACCAAACUCAUCUGGCACUAAAGGUCUGAAAUUGAGAUCCUAAAGAAACCUUAAUCUCAUAAUUGUCAAACUAUAAAACAUGUAUUAUAAAGAACGAUGCAUCCCCUUAGUUGACUUUUGUUGAAAGACCCGACUUCUGAAGUUUCAUUUGCCAUCGCUGGUCCGACGCCAUGUAUUGUCUUUUAAUGGAGAUUUUGUUUUUUUUGUACUUUGCCGAGAACUAAUAUGCCUCAAUAGGUUUGAUUCACAAAGCUAAAAGAGUGUUGAUUGAUGGAGAUAUGACUUGUAAAGCUCAAAAGAAAAGUGUUACCUAACAAUAAUUAUGAAAGUCACCAACGACUACAUAAUUAAUAUCAUACACUGUAUAAAAACUUCUCCUAUAAAUUUUGCAGAUAAUAUCUCCACCUAUGGAAGCAGUUACAGCUUCAAAGGCAGGCCAUUAUCUAGAACUGAAGGUCUGAAAUCCUAAAUAAACCUUAAUCUCGUAAUUGUCAAAUUGUAAAACAUCUGCUAAAAAGAAUGAUGCAUCCCCUUAGUUGACUCUAGCAUUUAUGAAAUUCAGAGUUGACCUUCCAAGUGCAAAAUUGAUGCAGCAAAUGACCUCACAACAAAUUUUUUUGUUAUAAUUAAAAUAUCCAAAUUCAUUUUACGGUCGACAAAGAUCCUUUCAGGUUCAUAGCUACCCUUCAUCUUCUACCUUAUACUCUACCUGGACAACCUGGUAAUUACAUCUAAUGAUCACUGUUAAACAGCAAGUUUUAAGACUCAAAGAAUCCUAGCAGGCACAUAAUAUAAGCAAACAAUUUAAAUGAACUAUAUUAUCCAUCUAACAUUUAUAAAGAAGGUUGUAAGAAGAACCUUUUCUCUGUAUGGCAAGAGAGUACGGAGGGUGUCCAGGUGAGCAUUAAUCCUUUCUCUCCUCCUCCUCUCAGCUUCGCUAUGACUCUUUAAAGCCGCUAUAACUUUCUCUUCCGACACGCUUUUCUUCCCAACCUUCACCGGUGACUUCACCACCAGCUCACUUUUCUCAUUAUCCAAAACCAAGGACUGUGAAAUCCCAUUGCAUGGACCCAAAUCACGGGAAACGGGAUCGAGGAAACCAGAAUAACAAUUCCCAGAUAAAAAAAUGUUGUCGUUGAAAUAGUAAGCAGCCAUAUAAAAACACACACAAAAAUAAAAAGAAAGCUAAACGACGUUGUAUGAGAGUUUGUUUUUAGGAGCCAGAAGUGAAAGAGAGUAGACCAGGUGGACGUGUGGUGGGAGCGAACCAGAAAGAUAGCUUUUGAAGAACAAAGUUUUGAUGGUUAGCGACUUUCUCGUUGUUGCCGAUGAUCAGUGCUAUGAUUGUUUCGAUGAUAGCUUCCAUAACGCAAGUGAACAAUUCUAGGGAGAUCGUUUUUUCAAACAGAAAGAAAGACUAAAGAGAAAACAUCCACAUUUUCUUCUUGAUCGUCUUGAAUUCCUCCAUAGGUAUGUGUGAUUCCUUUCUAGAGUUUUGAGACGUUUGAACCUCAAAAACAAAACAAAAACAAUAUGGGAUUUUUGGGAUUUCGGUGAAUAUUCAAGAGAGAGCAAACAACAGAGGGAAGAACAAGAGUAUUUGUUUUCUUUGAGCUUUGUAAGCAUAGAAGACUGAACAUAAAUGGGAUCUCUCACAAGGGCUUAAAAAUGGUGUUAGAAGGUCAAUGGAUUAAGCACUGUUGUUUUUAAUUUAUCUUAAUGACCUAAAAAAUACAAAAAAAUAUUUUAUAAUCAUACUUUUAAUCUUAACCACAUAAAACAAUCAUGGUGGUAUAUCUUUUACUUUUUCUAAUAUACUUUAUUUGUUAGGUAACAUCUGGCUUUUUAUAUAAGAUUUGUACUGCAAACACUAAUAUAAUUACAUUAUUUUAAGUUGAUUUUAAUGUGCUCUUGUUGAUAAAUGUGAACUUUUGAGAAAUGUUAUUCAUAUCACUAAAUUAUUUUACUUGUAUAAAUAUAUAAUAUCCAUUUAAAACUUAAUUAUUAAGUUAAUGUUUUAUAAAUUAUAUCAAUACGGAAUUAUGGCAUUAUUCACUAUAAUAUAGAUUUUGGUGUCAUCAAUUUGUCUAAGCUCAUUGUCAAAAGUGGUAGGCUAAAGAUAGAGAGAAAGUUAGGAUGGGAAUUAAAUACUUCCAUUUUAAUAUUAUGAAUGUUAAUAAACUUUUUAUUUAGGUUAGUUUGACAAUGUUUUUAAAAAAUAUUUUUGAAAAGUACCGUGGAAAAAUGCUUUUAAAAAGUGUUUUUGAAAAUUUUAAUUUAAAAUUUGAGUGUUUGGUAUUGCUGUCAAAAAGUACUUUUGAGAAAUAAAAUAUCAAUUUUAGACAUGAUAUUAUAAAGUAAUAAAUAUACAUUUAAAUAAUGUUCAAAUUAGUUAAUAUUAUGAUAUUUUAGUAAUAAUAUAAAAAAAAUAAUUUAUUAUAACUUAUUGUUAAUAUUUUAAUAUAUAAUAUUAAUUUUAAAUAAUUCUAAGUAAUUAAUAUUAAUUGUUUAUUAAAUUUAAUUAGAAUAUAUAAACUAUAUUUAAAUAUUUAAAUAUAAUCAUUAAUUAUUUAUAAUUAGAUAUUGACAGAAUUGUAUUAUUUUAAAAAUGAUUUUUUAUUUUUAAUUAAUAAUUUUAACAUAUUUGUAUUAUUUUAUUUUAAGGAUAAACUACAAAAAUAGUCACUUUUGUUUGCCUCAUGUUACAUUUUAGUCACUUAUGUUUGAAAUGUUACGUUUUAGUCACUUAUGUUAUUAUUUUGUUACGAAGUGAUCACUCUUCCGUUAAGUUCUAUUAUCUCCCUAACGGUAAUCCUACGUGGCAGUCCAACUAGAUAUUACUGAAUCUGCUAAUACGUACUUCAUUCUGAUGAAGUAUGUAUUAGCAGAUUCAAUAAUAUGAUUAUAUAUAUCUAUAUAUUUAAGCAUGUAUCACAUUACAAAAACAAAAUUUUAAAUACUUAUACCUCAUAAAACAUGUAUCUCAUUACAAUAAUUGUUAUUUUCCAAAUAACAUAUUAUUUUAUAAUUUUAUUUCUUAUUUAAUAUUUUAAUUUAAUUUUAAUAAUGCAUACUUUAUCCGGAUGAAGUACGCAUUAGCAGAUUCACUAAUAUGAUUAUAUAUAUAUAUAUAUUUACGCAUGUAUCACAUUACAAAAAUAAAAUUUUAAAUACUUAUACCUAAUAAAACAUGUAUCUCAUUACAAUAAUAGUUAUUUUCCAAAUAACAUGAAAGAAUGAAAUGAAAAGAACCGUAAUAAGCUCACAAACUUGGGAUUUUUACUUUGUCAAGUCCAAGAACCAAAGGUCAAGCAAAAGAGAAAAGCUGAAAAUAAUGUGAAAGAACUUUUUUUAUUUCAUAAUUAUUUCAUAAAAUUAAACAAUCAGAAAAUAACUAAAGAGAAGAAGAAGAAAAAGAGACUCACCAGCCUGAAGAAAAACAACCAGAGAAAAAGUAAAACAAAAGAGAAAUGAGGAAGAAAAAAUCUGUUAGAAAGAAGAAAAAAGAAGGCUAAAAAAGUAAUAUAAUGCCAAAAGUACUUUUGGCUUAGAAAAAGUGGCAGAUUUGCUACUUUUUCACAUGUGAAAAAGUGAUUUUUUUAAGUUAAAAAAUGGGCAAAAAUGGGGUUGUUUUUAGUGCUUUUAACAAAAAAAAAGUGCUUUUUGAGCAGAAGCCCAUCACACAAGUAGAGCCGAAUGGAGUCUUAGUCUUUACUUAAUUGAUAUGGAUAGUAUUGUCAAUGUAAGAAUACAUACCAAUUGAUUUAUGGAUUGAUGAGAGACUAUGAGUAGUUCUAAAUAUUAUGUUAAAAAAAUAGAUAUGAUUAGAACCCAUAAUGAGAUUAUUCAAAAAAUUUUAAUUUUAGACUAACAUAACAUAGUGUCUCGAAUAACUCUUAAUCCAUGGAAAUAACCAUAAACUUUAUUUAUGAUCACUAUUUAUUGCUAUGCUUGAUUGAUUUAUGCAUAGAAAUAAAUUUUUAGAAUGUUGAAAAGAGAAUAAAAGGAAAGAAAGUUUAGUCUCAAACAAAACAAAAGGUUAAAAAGGCAAAUUACAAAAAUCAACAUUGAUACUACCACCAUGCUUGGAAUAGUUCAUAUGUAUCAACUCCUGCUCUAGUCAUAGCAUCUGCCAUUCCGUUUGCUUCACUGUAAACUUUAGCAUCCUCACGAAUCAUCCAUAAAGUUCAUGGUCUCAUGUCACAAUUAACAAUCCCAUUAAUAGCAUUGCCAGAAUCAAAUUAACUAUGUGAAUCCAAUCAGUUUUAGCAAAAAUAUCCAGAGCUGUUGCAACAGCAAGAAGCUUUGCAAUAGUAGGAUUUGUAACCUAAAGUGGACUUGAAAACAAAGCCAGGAUGGAACCUUUAUUAUUUCGUAAAACCCUACCAAAAUCACCAUUGCCAAUCGAAUUCUGCAUUGUGGUAAGUAUUAAAAGUAACAUGCUUUAAUCUUAUUUUUAAUGCAUUUUUGGGUGAUUAUUCGAUGUUAAUUGUGAAUUUUAUGCUCCCAAUUCUUUAAAUUCGUGUUUUUAUGCCUAAUAGAGCAUUUGGGAGCAACAGAAGCGAAAAACGAGCAAAAAUUGAAAAAUCGAAGCAACCUACAGGAGCCACAUGGGUUGACCUUACACUCUGAACUAUGGAAAAUCGUGAUUUUUAAGUUUUUCGGGCAUUCUAAGAUGCAUUUAUGACAAAAUUAAAAAGAUAGGAGAGAGCUAUCAUAGAAUAUUCAAGAAAAUAACUCGAAAAACACCAUUAAAGUCGAUUCUGAAGUAGAUUUCCAUUAGGAUUGAAGAUUCUCAAUUGAUUUUUUAGGAGAUUAUCAUAAGUUUCUUUAGUUCUUUCAGUUAUACUAUUUCUAUUUUUAAGUAUGAAACUAAUUUUCUAAAUACCUAGGGAGAUGAACCCUAUGAUGAAUUUUGUCGUUUGAUUUUUAUUUUACGCAAUAAAUACUUAGAUAUUGUUCUCAAUCAUGUGCGCUUAAUUCUUGGUUUGAUAUUUCUAGAUUGUUGAUCCAUGUUUGAUGUGCUUAAAUCAGAGGAGGGAUAAACCCUAUUUUAGAGUAGAUAUUGCGUAAUUGAGGAAUAAACCCUAUUUGAGAUGAGUUAGUGUGAUGAUAGGGUUUUAAUUUAAAAAAAUCAAUUAAUCAACCUAAAGUAAUUAGGGAUUCCAAUGAAUCAAUAUACUAAAUAAAGAAAUUCUGUAAUUUAGAUUAAUAGUGACAAAUGAAAUCUAGGUGAAUUCUUUCCUUGGUAUUGUUUCGCUUCUUGGUUAUUAUUCGAUUAUUUUCCUGACUUGUUCUUUAUGGUUGUGUUCGUUAACAAUUAAUUUAGUUAAUUUUAGUUUUUAAUCAAUUACUCGGAUUUAUCGAUUAAAUAAUAGAAAGAUAGUAAUUACUAAUAUUUUUAGUCUCCGUGAGAAUAAUAUCUUUACUCCUCGUAACUAUAUUAUUAAUUGAUAGAUACACUAAAUCAUUUUUUAAUUAGUUUCAUAGAUACCACAUUGCUCCAUCAACAUUGAACUUCAAUGAUCCUUCAAUGAUACAAUAGGUGGCGGAGUCCAUAAAACACAACUCCUUAAGAUUUUUUCAUAGUUGAAAAAUGCUUCACCACCCAUGGUUAUAAAAAUGAUCAAUGAGAUCGGAGUUUCCUUCGAUUGAAAUUAGAUCGAAAUUCUUAACUUUAAAUAAUUUGAUAGAUGCUUAUGAAAUGUUUUAAUUUAAGGAUUAGGUUUAAAAAAUUUUAUUUAGAAUUUAUUGUUUAAAAAAUAUAGUUUAAUUGAAGUGAAAUUGUUCAAAUCUCGAUACCCAUUAGAUUACUUUUUUCAUAUAUUCAAUUAAAAAUCUCGUAAAAGAAUUAUAAGGAUCUUGACAUCCUUGACUACUGAAAUUUUAGGUCUUGUAUCAGAUGCAAAAAAACAAACUUUAAAUUCGUUCUCUCAAACUAAAAAAAUGAUGUCGAAGAAGAUUAUGAUAAAUCAGACAAAAAAACGUAGAAAGAAAAAACAAUACAAAAGCAACACGGAAGCAGAGCCUGAUUUCAUCCUAAAAAGGUAUUUGCGUUUUCAAUUGAGAUGGGAUAAUUCUUUAAAUCAAAGAAUAAUCAAUAAUAUCAAAGUAUAUUGCCUCCUGCUUAGAUUGAUAAAUUCAAACAAAAUUGUUAUAUCCUCUAUUCAAUGGGGAGAAAUGAAUUUGGAUAUUUUGAUGAUUCAGAAGGAUUUAACUCUUAGAGAACUAAUGAAAAAAAAUAUUGAUUAUCUAUCCAGUUCGUCUAUCGGUAAAAACUGAUGGACAACUUAUUCUAUAUUAAACUACAAGUAUUUUGUUGGUUCAUACAAAUAAACACCAAAUUAAUGGAAGAUACCAAAAAAAAAUCAUUUUUAUGAAUUUAUGAAACAAACCAAAUAACUCCCAUUUCCCCUCCCACAAAAAUACUCAAAAUCAGAAAUUUUGUUUCCAUGAAUUGUGAAGACAUAAGCCUUUUGAGAUUCAGGGUAUCAAAAUUUAUUAUAUAAUCACAGUUUUAAUCUUAACCACAUAAAAACCAUGAUGUUAUAUCUUUUAAAUUCUUUUAACAUACUUUAUUUGUUAGGUAACAUGUGGCUUUUUAUAUAAAAUAUGUAUCUAUAAUUAGAUUAUUUUAAUUUCAUUUUUAAAUGAAUGAUUAAUUUAUUACAAAUAAUCAGUAUAUAAACAAUACUCUUAAAUUUUUAUAAAUGUAAAGUUCUGGAAAAGCUCCAUUUUAAUAUUGCGUGGCAUGAUGAUGUUUGAGAAGAAGAAGCUAACACAUGGCCCUCACUUCCUCUCAACAGCUUUCUCCAUUGACAUCAAGAUUCCAUCACAUUUUGAUUAAUUACAUUAAUUUUCUUGUUUAAAACAGCAAAACAAAACUUCAAUGGAAGACUUUCUUUUUAUAGGCUAUGAAGGUCUUUCUUUGUUAUCAUCUAACUCAUGAAUUGUUCACAAUUUUCCUUAUGGGCACCAACUUGAUAUAAAAAAUAAACUAGCAGUGUUCAUCAGAAAAAAAAAGAUUUAAUUUUUUUUAAUUAUGAGUUAAUUCGUCCAGAUUCAAUGCAUUUUGUAGAUAAUAUUUAUAAAUUAUAUGAGAUUUUGACCUUUAACUUUGCUUGUUAAUAAUUUAUAUUAAUUUUAUAGUUUACGAAAAUUAAUUUUUUAAAAUUCAUGUUUAUAUUUUUUUAAUAAUAUUAUAUUUAAAAUUUAUAUCUAAAAAUUUUUAUUUCAUUAUAAUAUGUCUUAUCAUUAUAACAUAACUUUUAACUUUCAUAAACUUUUAACAUAUACCUCCAUCUUUUUGCUAUUGGUUAAUGCAAAUAUAAGGAAUUGGUCAUAAUUUUUAUGAUAUAAGUAGUGGGGGAAAAAAAUGAAUUAAGCAACUUUCUAUCUGACGUGAAGAAGACACCUUUCAAUUUUAAGUUUCUGUCAUCAUGCAACUGAUAGCAUGUUGGGCUUUUCUAAGUGUUUAUAUAUGAGUUUUGCUCGUAUAAAUUAUGCAUGCAUGAAUCAGUUUAAGUUUAAUUAAUUAUUCAAUUUUAUGUUUAUAAUGAUUUAUUAUUACCGAAGUUGUAAUUAGAAAAUAUUUGUUGUAAGAAAAAAAAAAGUUAAAACCAAACAAAGUUGUUCCAACAUCAAUUCUGCAAAAAAUCCUAAGUGGGUGGGUGACAGAACAGAAAGCAACCAGAUGUUAAAAAAUAUAAACAGAAAAGGCGAAAAUCUGAACCCCAGCCCACUUACCUCUUAAAAGAAGUGGAAAACUUGUGGCUGUAGAUCAGUCGUAUCUCCGAUCAUAUCUAAUCGGUGAAGCUGAUGGAGGUCUCCAUCAUUGUCACACAAAAGUCGGAGUUUCUAAACAUGAAACAUGUUAAAUAAGUCAUUGUGUGUAUCAUAAUUUUUAAGAAAGGUUAAAAUGUAAUUUUAUCGUUAUUUUAUCAUGUAAUUUUAUAGAAUUUUAAGGGAUUAAAUGAUAAAUUUAAUAUUUUUGAGAGUCAACAUUAUUGCAUAUUCACUUCGUGUAGUCCACUUUAAGAGUUAAAAGGAUUAAAUGAUAAAUCUCUUUCUAUCUUUUAAAGAGGAGCAUGAAUAUAUUUUAGCAUGCCUAAAAUAAAGUUCUUUUGUAUUGAUAAUAAUAUUAAUAUUAAUCUAGUUAAGAUUUCAUAUUAGCUUAUUUAUGGGAAGAAAUAUAGAAAUACAGUGGAAUUUCAAUCCUACAUUGCCAACACGUAUGUGUGUUUGUGUGUACAAAAGUCAAUGAAAGGCUACAAAUGAAAACAAAGAAGUAAUGGUAUUAUGGUAUAAACAAAAGCCAAAUCAACGAAUGAUGAGUACUAGUCUUUUUUGAAAAGGUCUUACGAAAGGGCAACUUAACGACCAAAUUGCAGAGCCAAAUACGAUAAUGGCAAUUUUACCUUUUAUUUGGUGUCUUCAACAUUUGAAAUAGCCCCUCAGAGCAUCCAAAAGACACUGCCAUGAAUUUAAGUUUUGUCCAAAGAUAAAAAUAAGUUAAAAUAUGCCCAUAAAUCUUUAUACUAUUUGAAAUUUUAGAAUUUAGUGUUUAUAUUUUUUAUUUUAAAAAUUUAAUUUUUUUUUAUCUUUAAAAUUUUAAAAUUCAGAUCGAACUGUUAAUAUUUUUUCUUCUAGUUAAAUAGAUUUUUUAUUUAAUAAUUUUUUUUUAAAAAAAUUAUAUACAAAGAUUAAUUAUAAAUUUUUUAUCGUAAUUCUAAUUUUGGAUGUUGCUAUUACUUGCAAACUUUAAGAGUUGGGCUUAGGAUGACUUGGUUUUUAUAUAUUUGUAUGACUUUAUGAAUUUAAGAAAUUUUUCAAAUUAAUAUGUUUUAUUUGGAUAUUGUAUUUUUCCUUUUGCUUUAAUUGUUCAAUAUUUAAAAAAUAAUCAUUUAUUUUGUUUUAGAUGAUUUUCUAUUAAAAGAAAUUACUUUUAUUAGUAAUAUUAUUCACAUUACAUAACAAAUUAUGUUUAAUAAUUUGUGAUAAGUAUAACACUAUUUAUCGUAUAAUUAAAUUAAUAUAUUAUAUCAUUAUAUAUUUUUUAUAUUAUCAUUCCAUUUAAAUUUUAUUUUAUAUAUUUAUUAUAUAUAAAUAAUUAUCAUAUUAAAAAUAUUUUAUAAUCAUAAUUAAUAUUCUAAAAAAAUUAUUUCACUUUAUUAUUUAACAUAAUUUAAUGUAAAUAUAUAAUGUUUAUGAACACAUUUCAUUAAAAAUAUUAUUAUUUAUAUUAAUUAUUAAUGUCUAUUUUAACUGUUGUAUUAUAGAUAUGGGCUUGAAUUUAAUUUCUUUUAGAUUUGAAUCAUAUCAAUCUCGUAAUUAAACUUUUGAAUUUGAGACUGUUUAGAGGCAAUUAUAGGGGGUCUCCGCCUCCUUUAAAAUAAAAAAUUAUCAUUUAAAUCUUUAAAAUUUUUUUAAAAUUUUAAAUUAAUAUAAAUAAAAUUCUACUUUAACCUUUUAAAAUUAUAAAAAUUUGAUUUAAUUCUUUUAAAAUUAUAAAAAUAUAAAUUAUAAAAAAUUAAAAAUUCAUUCGAACCAAACAAUUGUUCAGGGUUUUUAGUGGGACUGUUUUGCCGAAUACCGAUGUAGUCAGGAAAAAGAAAAGCGGUAUUGGAAACAUGUCAGAUAAGGAAUCCCAUAAUAUUUGUUGAUAUAUACAGUACAGAUUUCAAAACGAAAUAGCAAACGAAGGUGAAUAUAUAAUCUUCAAUAUCCACUUAUAUUGCAGUAACAAAUUUACCAUGAACUAAAAUUUUUAUAUUUAGGAGGAUUUGCAAAUUACAAGAAUCAUAAUUGUCAUGAUCACUCGAGUAUACAAAAAAUCAAGCUAUAUUUCUACGUAAACCUCAAUUUCUGUUUAAACUCUUGGGUUCUUAAUCUUAGAGACCCAAAUCAAAUGUUCUUAUUAUAAGAUGCAAAUCCAUAAUAUCUCGUUUGAUUAAUAAAUGGGAAAGGUUGAAAAAAAAAUUAAGAAUUUUUGUUUUAUACAAUUGAGAAGUUGAGGAUUGGUUUUAAGAUAGAAAUGCCAUACAAGUGGGUUUUUCUUUUUUUUUUAUUUACUUCAAAUAAUUAUAGCAGGGAGGGCUUGUAAUUUGUAAGGUUGCAGGUUUCGUGUAAAAACACACAGCCUACAUUAGCAUGCUAACUUUCUCCAUCAGUUAUUCUGUAUUAAAAUAUUUUAUACAUCGGAGUAAUUUUGUUAUGCAGGUUUCAGAUAAUUAUUAAAUUUUUUGGACCCUUAUUUUGUGUCGCUUAUACAUUUUACCAACCUUGUAGGAACACACGCAGGUUUACUAGGAAAAUAAGCAGCUUGAUUCAUCUACUGAAAGUACAAUAUUGUAUAAAUCAAAGGAUGGAGUCCUUGUCAGGAUAUUUUAUUUUCCAGGGCACGUAGAAUUGUGGGAAUUUGUCUGUUACAAAAUCCAGGAGAAGCUAUAUAAACCACAACGCAUGUCGGGAUUGCUAUAUCUCACAUACAUUCCUUCAACAUUACAUUUCUUCUACUUUUCUUGUGGACUCUACUUAAUUACAAUGGCUUCUACAACUCCCUGCUUGGCGUUGCUCUUUGUUUUGGGAAUCUGGGCUUUUCAGGUCUCGUCUCGUUCGAUUCCUGAGGUAUCCAUGUCGGACAAGUUUGAACAAUGGAUGGCUAGUUAUGGCCGAGUUUACCAGGAUGCAUUUGAGAAGGAUAAACGGUUUCAAAUAUUCAAGGAAAAUGUGGAGUACAUCGAAUCCCACAAUGCUGGUCAUACUGGCAAAAAGUACAAGCUUGGUGUUAAUGAAUUUACAGAUUUGACCAACGAGGAGUUUAAAUCAAUGAGGAACGGUUAUAAAAUGCAACGUUCCACCAUUGUUGCGUCUUCAAAAACAUCUUCUUUUAGGUAUGAAAAUGUUACAGCAGUUCCACCUAGCAUGGAUUGGAGAUCUAAAGGAGCUGUUACCAACAUCAAGGACCAAGGCCAAUGUGGUGAGUCAGACUGACAGAAUUUGUAUAUAAAGAAAUCAAACUAAUCAUGAUUCCAUAUAUAAUGCUUAAUAUUUGCUUUGAAUGAUGUAGGGUGUUGCUGGGCAUUCUCAGCUGUGGCAGCCAUGGAAGGGAUCACCAAACUCAAAACUGGUAACCUUGUCUCACUAUCAGAGCAAGAGUUAGUUGAUUGUGACAUCAAUGGGGAAGACGAAGGUUGCAGUGGGGGUCUCAUGGAUGAUGCUUUUGAAUUUAUCAUUACAAACAAAGGACUUACAACUGAAUCCAAUUACCCUUACCAAGGAGUUGAUGGAACUUGCAACAAGAAGGCAGCUGCCAACCAUGCCGCUCAGAUCACCGGUUACGAAGACGUACCUUCAAAUAGUGAGUCAGCACUGUUAAAAGCAGUGGCUAAUCAACCGGUUUCGGUUGCCAUUGAUGCCGGUGGUGCUGACUUCCAGAACUACAAAAGCGGUGUUUUCACCGGUGAAUGCGGCACCUCUCUCGACCAUGGGGUUACAGCAGUUGGGUAUGGAGAAGAUGAUGAUGGGACCAAGUAUUGGUUGGUGAAAAAUUCUUGGGGCACCAGCUGGGGAGAGGAUGGAUACAUUAGAAUGCAAAGAGAUAUUGAUGCUGAGGAAGGACUCUGCGGCAUUGCAAUGGAAGCCUCUUACCCAACUGCUUGAUGCAGCACAAUGGCUGCCUUUUCAUUAUUGUCGGGAACAAAUUAGCCAUCAUGUGCUUAUUAGCUUAUUUAUAUAAUCUGAAACUACAUAAAGAAAACAACUAAAAUGGCUUUCCAUGUAUAGUUCCAAUAUUAUUGUUCUGUACUUUGUCACUUAAUCCCUUGAGAUUAGACACAAAAAAAAAAAAGGUUCGUUCUGUAAUCCUGCUGUUCCCCCCUUCACAUUCAUUUACUAUUAUAUAUGUUAAAUGAAGUUGGCGUUUUAGAUGAGAUUUAAACUCAUUGUAAGUAGCACAUUGUUUUAGAUGAGAUUUACCCUAGAUCGAACAGUAAUUUAAAUUCGUAGAUUGUUAAAUUGGUAUCGAUAUCAAGUCUUGCUAUUGGUACUUAUAAAAAAAAAUAUCGUUAUCGUGAUUCUAUGUAUUGAUACCCAUUUAUCUUAACUUGAUUUUUGUAAAUUCAAAACUAAAAAGAAUAUUGGUACUUAUCUUGGAUAUUGAUACUUGGACUCAUAUUUUGCAAUGUUGUAAUUUAACCUCUCAUUAUGUUUAAAUUGAUUUAUUUACAAUCAUGAACCUAAUUAAGUUGCGUUUUUGGUUGUAAUCCAUUGUGCAUGAAAUUGAAUAAUGAAUUGAUGAUUUUAAAAUGAAUUAAUUGGUAUAAACUGAAUUCAAUUGUUUCGAUGAUUGAUGUAGCAUUUCAUAGCUUGAGCUUGACGAUCGGACUGGGUAAGAGGUGUUACAGUAAUAAGUUUUAUUUGAUUGACAUUCUCUAAUAAAAAAAUAUUUAGACUUUUUAUUGAUAAUCCAUGGAGAUGAAAAUAAAUUUUUUAGGUACUGUAAAUGCCCAAAUUUGAUCGGGACCAAUAAGCCCAAAUUAGACAAAAGCAAAAACAAGCAAAAAAACUAAAUUAAAAUGUCCAAUUAAAAUUACAGCCCAAAUGAACAAAUCCCUAACCCAAAAAUACAUGGCCCAAUGGCCCAAAACCUAGACCUAGGAUCGGUCAAACAGAAGCCUAGGGUUUCUCUCGCGCCGCUCCCCCCCACGUUCAGCCUCCAAGCGCCAUACGACCACCAGCGCCUCCGUACGAUGCCAGCAAACUCCGUACCUGCAAACAAAUGCAAAAACAACAGCAAAACAGAGACAAAAAAAAGGAGCAGAUUUUUGUAUUUUUUCUUUUUUUCUUUAUUUUGCUUUCGGCUACAAAAGCCAAAGAAAAAAAAUGUAAUGUACACACAGAGAUCAAGAACAAAAAAUCAAUACAAAGAAAAAAAAGAAAACAGAUUCACAAAAAAACAGAGAAAUCAAAUACUCUCAAAGGUGCCUCUUUUAUUUUUAUUUUUUUUUCUUUUCUGUUUUGAUUCGAAAUGAAGUGCAUUAACAGUAAUAAAAACCUCACCUUCGGUUCAUCCACCGACGCGAUUGGGAACCUCUAGUAACCCAAAUGUCACAAAACCCAUUCGGGUUUCGACGAGGGUUAGGGGAGUGCGACGAAUAGGAAGGUCGUUUUACUUGCGAUUUGCCUUUUUCUUUUGCUCUUUUUUUUUUGAAACAAAACCUUUUUUUGGAAGCUUUUAAAAAGGUAUCUUUUAAAAACUUUUAUUGCUCUCCGGCACGGCGGAGCCACGGCGGAGCUACGGCAGAGCCACCGCGCGAGCUCGCUGGUGCCCAGGUAGGAGGAAAGGAGAACGAGAGAGGGCCUAAAAGGAGCUCUCAGUUUUUUUUGAAGAAAAGAAAGGGGAAAAUGAAGUUUUUUGUAAAAUUUGGCCUUUUACAACACUAGUAAAACGGCGCCGUUUCAUUUAGCUGCAAAACACCCCAAAACGGCGUCGUUUAGGCGCUAGACCCGUGCGACCCAACCCGCGAGCAUCAGGAUCUGCGUGUUUCUACUAAUUUUGAUAAUUGCGCGCGUGAUCCUUCCGUAUUUUAUUAUGUUUUAAUUCAAUUUGUUUUUAUUCUUAAUUUAUGCCUUUGAAUUUCAUUUCAGUUUCAAUGUGGUCCAUUUGAAACAGCGCGUUUUGGGAGGGCGGGGUUAUUCCCCACUUUAGUCCCUACUCAUUAUUUGCGUGUUUCGAAUCGGUCCCUUGUUACAUUUUUAUACCCGAAUUCCCCUUUAAAUUUUAUUUGAAUUUUGAUUUAGUCCCUUUUUAUAUACCAGUGUUUGCCUUUUUAGAAUUUGGACCUUAAAAUUUCAUUUUAUUUUUCAAUCAAGCCAUUGUUCGUGUAAAUUUGAACUUUUUUUUUAUUUAUUUAAAACCAUUUUAGUUAUUUUAAACUUUGUAUUGAACUGUUUUAUGUUACUAAUUUUGAAUAGUUUUAUAUUCAUUUUGUUUUAAAUAUUUUUUUAUAUACAUAUAUAUUUUAAAAAUUGUUUUAUUAUUUGUUGUGAGUUUUGUUAUUUGUAUAUUAUUAUUUUAAACUUUUAUGUAUAUAUUAAUAUUAUCUAUUUUAAACGUUUUUAUAUAUAUUAUUUAUAUAUAAUCCUUUUUAUAUAUAUACAUUAUUCUAUUUCAGAUUUCCUUUUAUAUAUUAUAUUUUGAACUAUUUAUAUUUUAUUUUAAAUAUAUUUUUAAACUUUAUUUAUUUAUUUUAAAAUAUUUUAUUUAUUAUCCAUUUUAAGAUUCUUCUUUCGUAUUAUUUAUCUUAUACUUAUAAAUGUAUAUAUAUAUCUAUCUUAAACUAUAUAUAGUCAUUCUAUUUACCACUUAUUUCUUAUAUAUAUCUUAUCAUAUAUUUUUAUUAUUCUUUCAUAAUAAAUAUAUUAUUUAAGUUAUCAUGUACAUUGUCAAUUUUUAAAUGAAUUUGUGUUUAAAAUAUUUUGCAUAUAAUUUGAUUCAAGCUUUUAUUCUAUAAUAUUUAUUUCAAUAAUUAUAUAUAUCCCUAGUUUUUAUGCAAAUUUGUCAACUUAUAUAUUAUGUGUUCAUUAAUUCAUCAUUAUUUUGGAAAGUGUUGUAUACCACACUAACUUCUAAAUUCCAUUUUGUUUUGUACAUGUUUUGUUGAUUGAUUUAUAUGGUGCCAUACAUUGUCGUUGCAUAUUAUUUAUUCAUUGUUUUGUAUUGUUAUAUUAAUUAUUCUCCGUACAUUAUUGAAAUUAGGUUAUAUUUUUGGUUAGUUUUAUUUAAUUAUUUAUUUUGUUAGUUGGUUAAAUAAGACACAUUAUCUUCAUUCAUCAAGUAUUGUAUCUUAGGUGUGUACAUUAUCCCAUAUCAUUGUUUUUCACUUGGUUUACGAAAUGUUGUUUUAUAAGGUCCAAAUCUUUAAGAUUAAUUUCGUUUUACCAUAUCAUUGUUUUCCACUUGGUUUAUGAAAUGUGGUUUUAUAAGGUCCAAAUCUUUAAGAUUAAUUUCGUUUUAUUUCAAGUCGAAUUAAUGCGUUUUAAACUAGUUUUAUAAUUAUUUAUUUAAAAAUUCUUUAAAACGAAGGCAAUGUUCGAUGUUUGGCAAUUCGGGAAAUUGUGCCCUAUCGUGCUGAGUUGCAAUUUUCCGUUUGUUCAAAAUAAUUGAAUAUUCCUCUAGAAUUUCACUCAUGUCUUUAAAAAUUCUUUAAGGCGAAAGAAAUGUUCGAUGUUUGGCAAUUAGGGGAAUCGUGCCUUAUCGUGCUGGGUUACAAUUUUCCGUUUGUCCAAAAUAGUCGAAUAUCCCUUUAAAAUUUUACUCAUAAUUUCUAAUUCUAAAAUAAGGCAAUACCCAAUGUCUAGAAAUUCAAGGAAUCGUGCCCUACUGUGCUGGGUUUCGGUUUCUUCGUUGGACUAAAUAAUUGAGCAUCCUUUUAUGAUUUCCAACAUAUAAACUUUUGGAAGUCGAAAUUCAUCGUGUUUUCGAGGGUAUAAAGGAUCGUGUCCUAUCGUGCUGGAUGUGAUGUUGUAUUCCUCUGAAAUAAGAGAAUUUUGACGACCAACUUGGGCUGUUCAAAUGUUUAUAAAAGGAACCACAUUUCAAAAAACAUUUUUAAAUCUUAGACAUAAGGACAGUAUUUAAUCGAUCUGGUACCAAUUUUGGGCGUAGUGAGGGUGCUAAUCCUUCCUCAUACGUAAUAGACUCCUGAACCCGUUUUCUCAUAUUUACAUAGGCCGAAAUUGAUUUAAAUGGAAUAAAAUGCUUUAUUAGGUGAUUCAAUGACACCUAAACAAAAAAGAUUGGUGGCGACUCCAUACUUUGUUUUCAAAAAGUUGAUCCCCGUUUUUUUAAAAUUAAAAAUGGUUUCGACAGGUACAAAAGUACAUGUAUACAAAAAAGAUAUUAGUCAAAAUUAAAUAUAGGUGGAAUGGUAAAGGUUUUGUUUAUAAAUUUUCACCAAUACGAGUCUUUAAAGCCUUGGGUAUUUUAAAUAGUGAUUUUUAGUUGAUAUGUCUAAAAAUUUUAUAUAAAAAUAUGAAAAAGACAACAAGAUCAUUAGAAUAUUACUAAUUAAAAAAAUAAUUUUUAGGUUUUUUCUUAAUAAAAUUGGUAUUUGUUUAACUCAUGACACAUACUCAAUCACAAGCAUUGUAAUAAUAAAUAUAUUUUUUGACACAAUACUUACUUUUAUCUAUAAUCUUCAAACCCUUAAACCGGAGGAAAAGAAUGCACUUAAGUGUGCUUAAACUCACGAAAUUUUUAUUGUUCCAAUAGCAACGGUAACAACUGAAUAUAAUAAUAAUAACGAGACAUUGUAUUAGUAUAGAUAGUUAAUGAUAAUAAUUAUUUUAUAUUAGAUAAUUAGAAAAUUAAUUUGAUGGUGUAAUUCCACAAAAUGCUUUUCGUCAAGUGAAAAAGGUUAAAACUAUUGUCUUAGGAUAAUCCGAGGGAGGGCUAGUAAUUUGUAAGGUUGCAGAUUUGAUGUAAAAACACCUCGCUUGCCUUAGCAAAACGCUAGCUUUCUCCAUCAGUAUUAAUAAAUUUUAAACAUUAACUAGACGAAACGGAGUAAGUUUCUUAUGCAGGUUUCAGAUAUUUAUUAAUUGUUUUGGAGCUUUAUUUUGUCAUAUUUUAACUAUCUAUUAGAACGCCAUUACUUGUCGCUUUUGCCAAACUUGUGGGAACACAUGCAGGACUACUAGGAAGUAGGAACAUAAGCUGCUUGAUUCAUCUACAGUCAGUUAUUUCCAAUAAUUAUAGAAUAGAAAUCUUCUAAAAGAAUAAAAUAUAUAAAUCAAAGGAUGGAGUCCUUGUCAGGAUAAUUUCCGGAGCACGUAGAAUUGUGGGAAUUCGUCCAUUUGAAAUCUAGAAGAAGCUAUAUAAACCACAACCCAUCUUUGGGAUUCAUAUAUCUCACAUUCCUUCACUAUAAGCUUUCUUGAAAUUUGCUUGUGGACUCUUGUUUCUAGCAAUGGCUUCUGGAAGACAUUCCUUGGCCUUACUCUUUAUUUUGGGAAUUUGGGUUUCUCAGGCCUCGUCUCGUUCGAUUCCUGAGGUAUUCAUGUCUGACAGGUUUGAACAUGGAUGGCUAGCUAUGGCCGAGUUUACCAAGAUCCAUCCGAGAAGGAUAAACGAUUCCAGAUAUUCAAAGAAAAUGUAGAGUACAUCGAAUCCCACAAUGCUGAUCAUACUGGCAAAAAGUACAACCUUGGUGUUAAUGAAUUUAAAGAUUUGACCAACGAGGAAUUUAAGUCAAUGAGGAAUGGUUAUAAAAUGCAACGUUCCACCCAUGUUGCGUCUUCAAAGACAUCUUCUUUUAGGUAUGAAAAUGUUCCUGCCGUUCCAUCUAGCAUGGAUUGGAGAUCUAAAGGAGCUGUUACCAACAUCAAGGACCAAGGCCAAUGUGGUAAGUCAGAACGACAGAAUUCAUAUAUAAAGAAUCAAUCUAAUCCUGAUUCCAUAUAUAAUUUUUAAUAUUUGCUUUAAAUGAUGUAGGGUGUUGUUGGGCAUUCUCAGCUGUUGCAGCCAUGGAAGGGAUCACCAAACUUAAAACCGGUAACCUUGUCUCACUAUCAGAGCAAGAGUUAGUUGAUUGUGAUAUCAAUGGGGAAGACGAAGGUUGCAGUGGGGGUCUCAUGGAUGAUGCUUUUGAAUUUAUCAUUACAAACAAAGGACUUACAACUGAAUCAAUUUACCCCUACCAAGGAGUUGAUGGAACAUGCAACAAGAAGGCAGCUGCCAACCAUGCCGCUCAAAUCACUGGUUAUGAAGACGUACCUUCAAAUAGUGAGUCAGCGUUGCUGAAAGCAGUGGCUAAUCAACCAGUUUCGGUUGCCAUUGAUGCUGGUGGUGCUGACUUCCAGCACUACAAAAGCGGUGUUUUCACCGGCGAAUGCGGCACCUCCCUAGACCGUGGGGUUACAGCAGUCGGGAAUGGAGAAGAUGAUGAUGGGACCAAAUAUUGGUUGGUGAAAAAUUCAUGGGGCACCAGUUGGGGUGAGGAUGGAUACAUUCAAAUGCAAAGAGAUAUUGAUGCUGAGGAAGGACUCUGCGGCAUUGCAAUGGAAGCCUCUUACCCAACUGCUUGAUGCAGCACAGUGGCCGCCCUUUCAGUAUUACUGGGGACGAAUUAGCCAUCAUGUGCUUAAUUAUUAGCUUUUUCAUAUAUAUAACUAUAAGAAAAACAACUAAAAAGGCUUUCUAUGUAUAAGUUUCAAAUUAUUGUUCUGUUCGAUCUUGUUACUAAUGCCUUGAUAUUAGAAAAAGAAAGCUUUACUCCAUACUUUUAUUGUUCAACAUCUUUUUACAAUUAUAUACUUUCAUUGAAGUUGACUCCUUAUAUGAGGUUUAAACUCAAUUUAACUGGCACAUCCGAAUUAAGUCUAAUCGCUUUGGCAUCAUAGAUGACAUUUAAGUUGAAUAUAGUAGGCAGAAUUGAUGUAAGUGUACGAAGAUUUCAAUGAUAUCAAGGGAGUAGAUAUCAUUUAAUGCCUUUGUCUAUCAAAUCACCAUGGAAAAACGGUUCUGCAUUAAAUAGGAAAUCACAGAACAUAUCAGACAUAUAUGUGUGUAUAUGAACAAGAAAUGUAUACAUAACCAAAAUAAUAUUACAGAACGAGGUUGCUUCGAGUUGUAUUAUUUUGGUCACUGAAUAUGCUGUUAACUUAUAAGAAUGUAUCAGGAUGAACCAGGAACCAAUUGGGGGUUAGUUUAAGCAAUGAAGCCAUAAGGAAAGAAAGAAAAAAGGCCAAUGAGAUUGUGAAAGAAUAGCAGGUAGCCGACAAGCAAUAAUUUCAGGUCUCGAGUUGCGGUUUCUAGUCCUAGCAUUCUCAUCCACCCACGAAAGCACAAAGGAUAUGAGCUACCAACUACAAGGGAAAGCAUAAUAUAGUUUUUUCUUUUACUCAAAGGUUAACCUGAACCUGUAAUUAUCUCCCUGAACCGGUAAGAACAUCGAACAAUCCACAGCAACUUAAGAACGAGGUUGUUUGCACUGUCGGUGGAGUUGAAGCAACAAGGGGCUGUGAACCAAUUCAGGAAAUAAACAAGAAAUCACUUUUCAGUCAAAUAAGUGAACAUUCGAAUCCAAAACUAUAGAAAAGAAAAAGGGCAAGAUAUACCUGCUUUUUAGAAUGAUCACGGGGCUCGGAAUCUUGGGUUUUUUCCGUAACGUUACUAGCUUCAGCAGGUGGAGAGCUCGAGUAUGAGAAAACUUGUCCUUCAUUUCCUUCCAAUUCAACCCUUGAAAUCCCAUCUGAUGAGAGCAAUAACUUCACUUCACUUUCAUUCAACCCGGAUUUGUCCGUGGAAAUUUCAGUACCAUGAGUUUCAUCUCCAGCAACUUUCAGAGCUUCUGCAGACAUGACGGUACCAAAAACAUAGGCUUCUUCCCUUGACUUCUUCUUAGAGGCUCGAGAUUCGUCAUCUGAACUACUGGUGCAGCUAGAAAUCUUAUCAUGCUCAACAUGCUGAAUAGCAACAUGCGUGUUCUCGACAUCAUCCAAUCCACAUUUCUCUCUGCUUUCUGCAUCUCUAGUGACUUUAUCCACAUACUUCUCCAUGGUUACAUGCGAUUCAACAGGCGAUGGCGCUCUUUCCCUUUCUUCUUCACGGUGAUUGAACCGAUGGUGGUGAUCAUGGUCAUCCUGAGAUGCAGGGGAACCAACAUCACCACCAUAAGUGUCCCCUUCAUCUUGGCUUUUGCUGUCAUCAUUUCCUAGCACCAUUUGAUGCAAUCACCACGCAAACAAGAAACUUAUCAAACCAAAACAAACACUACAAAAAACUGAGUGCCCAGAAUUUUGAUGAAAAUAUAGCAACAAUCACCAGUAAAACAAAACACAAAGUAAACAGUUAACCAGGGCAUGAACUUAUUAUGAACAUGAUACUAGCCAUCAAACAUUCAAAGCAAGCAUGCAUGAUUUAGUUAACUAUAAAUCUCCAGCAUGGUAGAAUCCAAGAACUAAAUGCCACUUAUAAAUUAAAAACAACAGUACCCAUCUUCCCAAAUCAAGCAAAAAACAAAAACCCAAAACAAAAUUCCCAAUUAAAAAAUCCAUGUACCAUGUGGAUUGUUAUUAGUUGAUGAAUUUUCAUUUUUGGCUGCUUGUUCCUUAUUUUUCUUAGCAGCUUUUCUCUUCUUAGAACCUGAUGGCAUAAUUGCUUCCCUCCUCCCUUUCUGGGUACUUAAAAACCUUUUCCAGUUCCCCCUCAAAGAUCGUUUAGGCUGCUAACUACUUGCCUGCUGUAAUUGUUGCUCACUUUCUGUGAAAAUUUAGCUGUACGAAAGAGCAAGUAAUGUUUAGUAGCUGUACGUUGAGAAAUUAUACUAGAAAUUAGUGGCGAUUAGCAAAAGCCAAAGCGUCAGUCACUGUUACUUGCUGGAAUCGAGAAACUGGUUUGCCUAUACGCUUGGAUACUCUCUUCGAGAGAAGUUUGGAUUAUUUAGGAAUUAUGAAAGAUUUUUUGCAUUGAUGGCCCCUGGGGCCAUUUGGAGGGUGUAUUUAAAUGAUGAAAUUUGGAAUGAGUGGUGUGGUUGAUGUGAAUUUUAAUGUUAGUAAAAUUAAAAUUUUUGGAGAUUUUCAUUGGUUGGAUAAGAGGAGUUAGGUGUAAUGGUGAAAUUCGACUUAUUGCUUCAAAUUUAAGAUAUCCUAUCAACAAUCAAUUGAGCAUAAUGGUGAAAUUAAAAAUUAUAAAAAUACUAUGAAUAUGGUUUGAUUUUAUCAAAGUUCAAUUCAAGGUGAUAUGUUUUCUAAUUAUGCAAUAUAUUGCUUUAUUUUUUAUACAUUAUAUAGUUUACAUCACAUAAAAAUUAAAUAUAUACGUGUAUUGUCAAAGUAUUAUAUUUAAAGUUUUAAUAAAAAAUUAAAAAUUAAAAAAUAUAUUAAAAUAAAAUGUAUAAAGUAAAACUUAGCACUUAAUAUUUAUCUAUUUUGUUACUUUCUUUUUAAUUUGUUGAAAUUUUUAAUUUUUUUUUACUAAAUAUACGUGAAUGGUCAUGCAUGUCAUCACGUUGGUCUCGUUUCUAAAAAAAUUAAUAUCAAACAGACAAAAAAAAUAAGUGAAGUACUAAUUUAUAUUUAUGCCAAUUAAAAAUAGUAUAAACCUUCGCAACUUAGUCCAUAUUUUGAAUUGUAUUUGAACAAAUAUAAAAAUGUAUAAUGAUACAUGGUCCAACACAAGCACCGUGGGAUCCGAUCCAUGUUCGGCCCGCUCCAUAUAUAGAUAGGAUUUAAAAUUAAAGGUGGGGCUCACGUGACCGUUGACAAAAAAUAAGUUUUAAUUUGAUGAGAUCAAAGAGGUGAGUAUGAAUCCAAUAUAAUAUGUAUGAUUUGAAAAUUAAAAAGAAAACUAGUUUGACAUCAAAUAUAUUUUUAUAUAUUUUGUCAGUUUAAUAUUUAUUUUUUAAUUAAAUUUAAUUAUUAAUUUUUCAAAAAUAGUUAAAUCAUUUGUUCUUAAUACAAAUAAUGAUAAAAACAUUAAGAGUCAAAUAAAUUUUUUAAAUGAAAAUGACGGCUAAAGCAUUAAUUCGUGGGGUGAUUGCUCAUGUAGACUUAAUGUUAAUAUAAAGUGAUCACUUAAAUUAAAUAUUUAACUUUUGAAAAAGGUCAAAAUUACAAUUAUUCCAUUUAAAUAAAAGCUAAAAAAACUAAAUUAAACAAUUGACAAUUUAUAAUGCACUAUAAUCAUAAUUAUACCAUUGUGGCAAUGCAUCCAUUUUUUGGGUGCAUCCGAGAAGGAACUAGCUAAAGAAAUUUAUAAAACUAUCUUAUGAAACUUUAACCUUCAACAAGUAGUUUUUCAUGAUGUCUAAAGAAAAGAGGUAAAAAGGUAAAUUCAAAAACCAAUCCUUUUGGCUCUAAGAAAUUGAUUUCAUUUGGAGUUAUUUUGAGAAAUUGGAGUUACAGUUUUGAAGAUCUUCUUCUUCAUCUGCAUUGUGCGUGUGUUCACUUGACAUCUUCUACAAAUAGUCAAGCAACGUAAUAUGCAUCACAGUAUGAAGUUAAUUUCUGCCUUGUGUUGAAGAUGUCAAGUGAAGUGUCACCAAGGAAGCAUAAGCCCCAUCGGUUAUAUUCAUCAACGCAUCGUUUCUACCGAAGAUGUCAAGUGAAGUGCCACCAAGGAAGCAUAAGCCCCAUCAGUAGUAUUCAUCAAUGUAUCGUGUCUACCUUUCUCAACAAUGACUCCGUUUUUCACCACCGCGAUAAUAUCAGCACCCUUUAUCGUGCUAAGGCGAUGAGCAACAACAACAGUCGUUCUGUUCACCAUAACCGCGUCCAAUGCCUCCUGCACCACACGCUCCGAUUCUGCGUCUAUAGCACUUGUUGCCUCAUCAAGCAAAAGGAUCUUGGGGUCCUUCAAAAUUGCUCUAGCAAUGGCUAUACGCUGUUUUUGCCCGCCGGACAACUGAAUCCCCCGUUCUCCGACCGAAGUGUCGUAACCGUGCGGCAACGAACUGAUAAACACAUGUGCAUUCGCUGCUUUCGUAGCUGCCAUGAUCUCUUCUUCGGUUCCAUUUCCUUGUUUGCCAUAGGCUAUGUUGGUACGUAUGGUCUCAUUGAAAAGUAUUGGCUCUUGGCUAACCAAUCCCAUUUGUUGCCUAAGCCAACUUAUUCUUAUCUUCCUAAUAUCAAUGCCAUCCAACAUUACACAACCAGAGUCUGGAUCGUAAAACCUUUCAAUGAGGCUAAUCACGGUUGAUUUCCCACUCCCGCUCUCACCAACAAGUGCAACAGUCUGCAUACAAAAAAAAAAAAGAGUAAGCAAAAUGAGAUAGAAUUUGGAUUCUAAAUGGUAUUCAAUUCUGCAAUAAAUUUACCUUUCCAGAAGGUAUGCUGAGACACAAAUCUUUGAAUAUUUGAAUGUCUGGUCGUGUUGGGUACUUGAAACUAACAUGUUCCAACUCAAUAUUGCCUGUAACGGUAGGUAUUGUGGAACCAUCUUCACUGCUUGAAUCAAUGGGGGGUUUUCUAUCAAGAAUCUCAAAUAUUGAAGCUGCUGAAUCUUUAGCUUUAUUGGUAUCAGGAGCUAAAGCACUUGUUUGUGAAACACCAAUGGCUGACACCGUUAAUGCAAAGAAAACCUUGAAUACUUCUUCAAAUGUUGCUUUCCCAUGCUUCACUAGUACAGCUCCAAGGUAAAAACAAAAGGCAUUUGUGCAGUAUAGAGCAAAGAAAGAGAAACCAAACCCGGAACCGCUUACGAGUCCGAGACGGACUCCUUGCUUCAUUGGGGCUUGGCAUUUCUCUUGGUAUAAACCCAUCACCCUCUUUUCUGAACAAAAUGAAGCAACAGUUCUUAUACCUCCUACUGCAUCAUUAGCUACUUGGCUUGCUUCUUCGUACAUCAACUGCAUUUUACAUUCAUUUACAUGUUACAUAUAUGCAUAUAAAUACACGCUUUUUUCGUAUAGCCGAAACAAUUAUCAUCAAGUAUCAGUAUCACUGACCUUUGCAUCCGCACUGAAUCCCUUGAGAAAUUUGGUCUGCAGGUAUCCUUGAAUUAAUGUAAAUGGCAUGACAGCUAGGAUUGCUAUAGCUAAUAUCCAGUUAGCAGUAAAUGCUAUGACUAAUCCUGCUACGAUAGUAGUUAUGUUUUGUACAAUCAGGGCCAAGCUAUCACCGACAAGGUUUCUUACAGUCGAUGCAUCGGUAGACAGUCUCGCACCGAUGGCGCCACUGUGAAGUUU